This 1249-nucleotide long non-coding RNA is filed under the name Hordeum vulgare. RNAcentral's name for it is "long non-coding RNA (HVUL_LNC007042)". Lineage: Eukaryota; Viridiplantae; Streptophyta; Magnoliopsida; Poales; Poaceae. The record is from RNAcentral.
UGUAAACAUAACAUAAAAUUUUCAUUACUUUUUGUGCAAUAGUUAACACUUCAUGAACUAAUUAAAACACUGGAUAAUUAACACAAUCCAUAGUUGCUAGCUAUACUAGCUAAUUACAUUGUGUCAAGUAUUAAAAAAACUACAACUCAAUGAUUUAAAGGCCGCCCUAUGUAGGACGAUGAUGAGAUCGCCGGAGCCAAACGGAUUGGCCACCACGGGCGCGCUAGCGCUCAACAAAUCAUCCUCUCACGUGCGUCCCCGUGACAGACGCUUGGCCACCACCCUGCAAUGUGGAAGGAGGCCCGAGGGAGGCUAUUGCUUUUGCGCCACCGUCCUCUACCAUCUCUCCUCACCGACGAGAUCUAUGGCUCCGCCAUUGAUCGGCCGCAGCUACGUCACCGUCCUCCACCAUCUCUCCCCAUCAACGAGAUCUAUGGCUCCACCAUUGACCGGCCGCUGCUGCACCAUCGUCCUCCACCGUCUCUCCCUACCGACGAGAUCUUGGCUCCACCAUCUCUCCCCACCGAACUUGGCGUUGCUCCCUGCUCCUAUCAGGGAAGAUAAAAGGGGAGGGUGAGAGAGAGAGAGAGAAUUGAGAGAGAAAGGGAGACAGAAGGAGGAGAGGAAGGAGCACGGGUAGGGUGGUGCACGCGCGCAACCUCGAUAGCCGUACACGGAGACGAGACGUACCUUGGGCACGGAGACGUGGUGGAUCGGGGCGGAUUUCCUCCUGGAUGUGCUCGAGCCCAACCCCGACGAUGUUCUAGGGCUCCACCACCAACGGGACCUCUGCUGGCCUCCCUUCACGGGCCAUGGAUAGGAUCUAGAGCCCGUGAGAUUUUAGAGAGAGGAGGGAGGGAUCCAGGUUAGGAUUUGACCUAUGGGAGAGAAACAGAAGGGAGCAAGGAGAGUGGUUGCUCCCAAUUGGCAUUGUAUCUCAAGAGAUUGAAGAGGCAUGGGUAAAAUGGUCGAGCGAAAAUUACGCACACGGUCAACACACGGUUAAGCGGCACUCACCGGACGGAAACGUGACGGAAGGGAAAAACCAUAAGAGGAGCAAACAGAUUUGGAGAAAACUGAGGGUUUUCCAAAACUAGGGGCAAACCUGUCGAGUGUGACACAACUAAGGUCAUGGAAUUAAUUAUCCCUUCAUGAAUUAGAGAUAUAAAUUACAGAUUUUCUUUGCUUAGAAUUUUUUUGAGUUCCAUCUAUCCUUGUAAUCAAGUAUACGAGUUAUAUAAUAAGACCG